CCCUUAGAUGUUCUGGGCCGCACGCGCGCUACACUGAUGAACGCAACGAGACCACCUGUACCGAAAGGCAUGGGUAAACUUGUGAAAGUUCAUCGUGAUGGGGAUAGAUUAUUGCAAUUAUUAAUCUUCAACGAGGAAUUCCUAGUAAGCGCGAGUCAUCAGCUCGCGUUGAUUACGUCCCUGCCCUUUGUACACACCGCCCGUCGCUCCUACCGAUUGAAUGGUCCGGUGAAAUCUUCGGAUAGGACUUUUUUGAUUUAUUUCAAUUCUGUCUUAAAAGCUAUCUAAACCUCAACAUUUAGAGGAAGGUGAAGUCGUAACA
RNAcentral lists this ribosomal RNA (322 nucleotides) under uncultured eukaryote. Its description in RNAcentral is "partial 18S ribosomal RNA". It matches the Rfam family "Eukaryotic small subunit ribosomal RNA", at positions 1470 to 1796 of the family's 1831-position model. The record is from RNAcentral.